Molecule: ribosomal RNA, 460 nt
Filed under: uncultured bacterium
Lineage: Bacteria
Description: partial 16S ribosomal RNA
Rfam family: Bacterial small subunit ribosomal RNA
Source: RNAcentral
GCUACGGGUGGCAGCAGUGAGGAAUAUUGGUCAAUGGACGAGAGUCUGAACCAGCCAAGUAGCGUGAAGGAUGACUGUCCUAUGGGUUGUAAACUUCUUUUAUAUGGGAAUAAAAUGUUCCACGUGUGGGAUUUUGUAUGUACCAUAUGAAUAAGGAUCGGCUAACUCCGUUCCAGCAGCCGCGGUAAUACGGAGGCUUCGAGCGUUAUCCGGAUUUAUUGGGUUUAAAGGGAGCGUAGGUGGAUUGUUAAGUCAGUUGUGAAAGGUUGCGGCUCAACCGUAACAGUGCAGUUGAAACUGGCAGUCUUGAGUACAGUAGAGGUGGGCGGAAUUCGUGGUGUAGGGGUGAAAUGCUUAGAUAUCACGAAGAACUCCGAUUGCGAAGGCAGUUCACUGGACUGCAACUGACGCUGAGGCUCGAAAGUGUGGGUAUCAAACAGGAGUAGAUACCCGAGUAGUC